CAUGGGGUGCAAACGUUGCUCGGAAUCAUUGGGCGUAAAGCGCACGUAGGCGGUUACUUAAGUCGAAUGUGAAAGCCCUCGGCUUAACCGAGGAAGUGCAUCCGAAACUGAGUAGCUAGAGUACGAAAGAGGGUCGCGGAAUUCCCGGUGUAGAGGUGAAAUUCGUAGAUAUCGGGAGGAACACCGGUGGCGAAGGCGGCGACCUGGGUCGAGACUGACGCUGAGGCGCGAAAGCGUGGGGAGCAAACAGGAUUAGAUACCCUGGUAGUCCACGCCGUAAACGAUGGGUGCUAGAUGUUUCUGGUAUUGACCCCGGAGGCGUCGUAGCUAACGCGUUAAGCACCCCGCCUGGGGAGUACGGCCGCAAGGCUA
Molecule: ribosomal RNA, 372 nt
Filed under: uncultured organism
Description: bacterial SSU rRNA
Rfam family: Bacterial small subunit ribosomal RNA
Source: RNAcentral